CCUUUCGGGGGGCCGCGGGGGGGAAUUGUUCACAAUGGGCGCAACCCUGACGCCUCAACCCCGCGUGGGGGAGGUAGAUCCUUGGGGUUUUAAACUCCUUUUGAAUGGGAAGAAAUGGGCGAGGGGUAAUAUCCUUUUGUGGUUGACGGUACCUGUUGAAAAAUCCCCCGCUAACUAUGUCCCCGCAGCCGCGGUAAUACGGAGGGCGCGAGCUUUUUUUGGAUUUAUUGGGUGUAAAGCGCGUGUAGGCGUGCCUUCUACAGUCAGUAUGUGAUUUUCCCGGGCUCAAUCGGGGAGGUCCAUUUGAUACUGGACGGCUUGAGUCCGGGAGAGCAAAGUGGAAUUCCUGGUGUACCGGUGAAAUUAGUAGAUAUAUGGAGGAACACCGGUGGCGAAGGCGGCAUCCUGGUCCAGCAAUGACGCUCAGGCGCGAAAGCGAGGGGAGCAAACUGGAUUAGUUACCCUGGUAGUUUCUUCCCCUCUUUUAAAAACU
Molecule: ribosomal RNA, 493 nt
Filed under: uncultured Acidobacterium sp.
Lineage: Bacteria; Pseudomonadati; Acidobacteriota; Terriglobia; Terriglobales; Acidobacteriaceae
Description: partial 16S ribosomal RNA
Rfam family: Bacterial small subunit ribosomal RNA
Source: RNAcentral